Molecule: long non-coding RNA, 15283 nt
Organism: Clupea harengus (Atlantic herring)
Lineage: Eukaryota; Metazoa; Chordata; Actinopteri; Clupeiformes; Clupeidae
Source: Ensembl
CUUUUUAGUAUUCAACCAGAUAGAUGUUAGGUAGGCAUGAAAGAAGGGCUAGCUGACUAGGUUGAGGCUGGGGCAUUUGUGGGCUAGGGAGAAGUUGAAUGUUAUUUGGGGAAGCAUGAUGGGAAGAGUGUAUAGAUUAUGAGGACACCGAAACGAUCAAACAUGUACAACCUCAGUGCAGGCAAUUGUUUGCAAAUCUGUCUGAGCUCGGUGUAACCACGUACUCAAUGGAAACAAUUCAAGAAGAAGAACCUGCAGGACAAAGGCAAGUCAUGUAAGAUCUAUGGGAUUUUGUAUUUAUAUCUGAGUAAUUAUAAUUAGGCUACUAGUUCCAUCAACCGACAGUGAGAGGCAGCAAUGCGCUGCAAAAGUGCCCAGUCUGCCGUAAACGGAAAAAGAAGAAGACGACAAAGAGAUGUCCUUGAAUAUACUCUGAUAACGGCCACUACAUCAUUGAGCGUAUAUGUUCUACACGGGUUGGAUCUGUCUUUCCCCCAUCUCAACCAUUCUCCAUUGGGGUUAUGCAGAGGCUUCACUUUGUCAAUAAUUGUUACGACUUAGCCUAAGCAAACCGACGAGAACCUGGUGGAAACCGGGACCCUGGGAUCCCUCUUGCAGUUGCUCUCAUUCUCAAGCGAAAGCCUAGAGGGAGGGAGAGGGACCGGACAGAUAGUGCUGUUUUUUUUACGGUGUGGCGCCACAACCAAGUGGCUACAGUCAGUGCUGUUUAGACGGGCGUUACAGUAACGACGUCAGUAGGUAACGCUAACAAGCAAGCAAGGCUAUCUCAUCAAAAGUUAUCGUUAGUUGGUCACCAUCUGUUUUGCUGCAAUUAACCUACGUUACAUUGAAGGUAUUAUCAACAGUUCAUAUUAGCUAGCUAGUUAGUUAACUUAACUAACUUAACGUUAUCCAUCACCAUGUUCUGAAAAUGCCUUAUCUCGCAGGCAGACAUCGCUGUGGCCGUCAAAACUUUGUGCAUUCACAAUGUAAUGUUAAAUCGAUAACCCAUUCAUAAAUUAACGUUAUAUUUGAAGUUGGGAAACUGUCAAUGUUUUGCUGGUGUAAUUGCGUGCUAUCCAAACAUCAGACUGUGGAUAACUACCUAUGAUCGCUAACGUCAUUGAGCCAGAGCGUUAGCUAGUUAGCCGAGGUUACGCGUUUAUGGUUGUGUGGGCUAGCUAAGGUUACUUUGAAUUAUGGUCGUAAAGCUUCAGAAAGAACUGUGGUGCUUAAAUGAAGACACCAUAUAAUGUUAUGUUCGGCACUUGUCUUUGACGUUGGCACGGCUUUGACGUGUACGCAAGCCAACCCUAGAUAGUGUAACGUUAACGUCCCAAGGACUUGAGACUUGAGUUCGCUAGCUGGCUGAGUUAGUUAGCCUUGUCCAGGCUAUCGAGUGGCUCACCGAAGCAUAGCAAGCUGCCUAGCCGUGGUUGACAUUUGAUAAUGUCUGAAAUACUUUUAACGUUACAAGUCAGUAAUAUUGUCUCUAUUCAACAGUUUAAACAUUGUUUAGCGCUUUAACUGUAGCCGCCAAUCAUCAAGCAAGUAUCACCUAGUGAAUGUUAUAUAUUUAUAUAUAGCUAACGUUAUACAUUUUUCGUAGCCUUUCUGGCUUCCGGCUAGCCUGUGUACUCAUAUUAGCGACCGUCAUUAGCCAGACAACUACAUCUGGCUCCGUCGCAGCAAGGUUGUUUUUCCUUAUUCGAUUUUUGUGAGACAGUGGGAAGAUUUCAUCAGCCACACGUUCGGUGUCUAGCUGGAAAACCUUGCAAAUUAAUCAUCAGAACAAAGUCCGAGUUGAAGGAUUACAAACGCGGUAAGUAUACAAUCACAAUGUUAGCUAAUUAACAUUAGCUGCUUGGAUUGUGGUGGCUAGCUAUUGCCACUUGUUUUUGUAAGGUUACUUUAAGAGCUGUGCUCUUAAUUUAACGAGUCUAAUUUUUAACUUAAUUCUUAAGUGAAAUCCUUACUCGAUGUCACAUGUUUGUCCUCAAAAUUAGGAAAUAUUGUACGUUCCAUCAGGCACGUUUACUUCGCCACCUUGACGUUAGCGGGCUAAAAUGUAGCUAGAAUUAGCUAGAGUGAAGACUGCUAGCGUACAGGGUAGCUAGGUCAUGACGAGCGUUGUAUGUAACUGUCAAGUUACUAUCUCAAUAGUGUUAUUGACUGGUUAAUGGUACCCUGUUUUUUAUAGUGCUGUUCAUAUUUGCCCCUUAAGUAUGAAAGUCGUGUGGAUGUCACUGAUUUGUGUGGGUUUUCAAGUUUGUCAGAACAGAGGGAUAGCCGUAGCGUUACCCUAUUUGACAUCGAAACACCUGGUCAUCAUCAUCGUUUGUGAUGGAGCCUUCGUUAAAUCAUAGUUAGUCUGUAUAGCUAGUUAUUUACAAACUGACGUGACGAAUGUUACCCCGUACUGCACCUUCGUGUGUGAUCUGUUCAAAUAUUAACGUUAGUGUUGACCUGGCGUGUGUGUGGUUUACUGCAUGUGUGUUUAAUGUUGCAUCCCAUCUAAGGCGUUCUCAUAGACCGUGAUCAACACUGUAUUUAUAGGUCCUAGCAUUACAUUCUUUCAUUGUUACUAAUUAGCUACAGUGUAUAUUUGGUUUUGCCAUUUACAAACGUAAGUCAAUUGACGUUGUGCAUGUUUUUGCAUAAACUCAACUGUACGCAAACCUCACACUCCUCGUCCAAGUACAAGCAUCCGACCAUAGAGGUCAUUACGUAAGCAUGUUGUAGUGAUGUUAAGUUGGCAAACGAUCCGACUCUUUUCAACGGCUCUUAGGUACGAACGAAAGGAACCGAGUCAUACUUGAGAGCCGUUCUUUUUAUCGUUGUGCUCAAAUGUCACUGCAUGCCCUUAGGUGAACAGUGGAAACUAGCCUGUCACACGAUGUAGAAGUUGUAGCGUUAGGUUUCUUAAAGGCAGAAUGAGCGGGAUUUGUAAUGGUGUUUGUAAACACAGCAUUCACAGUUGGCCCCUCCUUCCUAGCUCCAGCGAAAGAGAGGGCAGCAGUGGUGGAGGGAAUUCGAGAAUGAAUCAAAAGUGGGAGGGGAGGUAGCAAGAACAAAGCAGUGAAUCAGAGUAAUUCAACUUUUUUUCUGAUCGUUUCUUGAGGGUUACGUUCUAAAGCACAACAUAUACAUGGCCACACCUCGGCACCACCCUGCUGGAAGGAUUUGGUGUGAAGGCAGAUAAAGCGCACACUUCAUUUACUGUCUGCUACACCUAGUCCACACGUGCAAAAUGUCAUUAUAUUGGUGGGAUGUCUACGUUUGAAUCAAUAGCUGACACCCACUGAGCACUGUUUGAUUGUAAAGCUUUGACACAUUUGGAUUAUUGUGUGCAUGUUGCAGGGUUGGAAAUUAGAAUCCGCUACCCGACAAAUGCGUGUGAAUUUGUGAAGUGGUGGGUGAAUUUGAUCAACCUACCUGCUACAGCUGAUGUCACUAGGCCUAUGCAAGAGGAGACAACUCGAGUUAAAGAACCAAAAGUUAAAAGGUGAUUAUUUUUUUUUGUGUUCUUUUCUUUUUUUUUUAUGUAUAAUUUUUUAAGCAAGGCAAACAUUAUUGAAAAUUUAGUUACACACAAAAGUGCGAUUACAAAAUGGUGGCUGCUGAAAAUGGCCAGUAGAUAAAGAAAAAGAAAAUGUUUAUUUCCACUCCUGUUAUGUUGUGUGCAUUUAAUUGUUAGUAUUAUGGCCAGUCACUGUGAGCAAGUAUAUUCAGCUGAAAUACACCGUUAAAUAUUUCAUGCUGUGUUUUAGGAGCAGUGUACUGUUUGGAAAGAAAAAAAAAGAUUUUCGUCCAUUUGACGCAAAUGAACAAGCAAAUUGUUCAGCUUAAUAUUUUCCAGCUUAAUCCUGUGACGCUGUAUGGUAUAGCAUGCCCUAAAUAAAUCUUUGGCUAAGCUCUCGGCCUCUCACGCCUGUCUCUCCUCAAAAGGCUCUCUCUCAUGAACAUGAGGCACCCUUUACGUAGGGUAGCCCAUUGGGCUUAAUUAGUCCACUUAGGUCUCUUGGAGCCAACCACAGUCGUGGGGGAAGCCCGGACCCAACCAUUGUGGUGGGGGAGUCAGUCUUAAAGGGCAACAGCCCUUUUCUUGCCACAGUGAGAAGGGAGGAAAUUCACCUUCUCACACAUGGCUAUACUCUUCCGUUAAAGCAGCACAAUGGAGGAAUUGCUAAUCGCUAACAAGAUGCUAGCGGCUAAACCUAGCGAAACCUGUUGAAAUUUGCACAGUACAAUUGCUACAUACUGUUAUUUUAACAUCUUUACUUUCGUAGCCUACUUUCACACACACAAGCUUUUUGUCCGCAUAGCGCGACCAGUUUGUUGUAGUAAAAUACUGUUGAGUGGUAUCGGUUCUUGGUAUCGGCAAUUCAAAUACGAGUAUGAGUAUUUUAACGAAGUAUCGGCCCGAUACUGGUAUCGGUAUCGGUGCAUCCCUAACUGGUUUGUUGAGUUUCACGGUCUUAGUCGAAACUAUUACACUCCUACACAAAAUGCACACAACUGUGCUCUGAUCUUGUCAAACUUUAUAAACUGCCAUACUGGAGAGCUAACGUGUAGAUUUUUUUUUUUGUGUGGAACUGACUAGUCCCCCUGAAGUUGUUCACUGUCCUGUAUUCCUGCUGGUCAGUGCACAGAUUAUGUAUGAGCAGUGCAGUAUAAUGUGCUCUCUGUUGUGUUCUUUCCAGGAAGUAGCUCUGAGUAGGAGUGUUUUCUACAGUAUGGCCCCCUGCUCCUAAAGUGGAAACUAAAGACAUGUGCACUGUUGCCCAUAAAUGUGAUGCUUCAGUGAGGUGGUCAAAGGCACCAAGUGGGCAGAGCCAAGCUGAAGUGAAGUAAUAAUAAUAACUGUAUUUAUAUAGCACCUUUCAUGCAAAAGAAUGCAGCUCAAAGUGCUUUAGUAGACAAAGGUUUGGUUAGAUCCGACCGGUAGCAUUAGCAAGCAACUCCUUUAAACUAAAUAUGUCAGACUACAUGACAUUCUAAAACGAUGGCAACAUCGCUGCGUGUUAUGGACAGUAUUUGCCAUGUGCGCUCUCUAAGGAAUAAACUAUAGUGCUUUUUCUGUUCAAAACAGUUGAAUUAGUUGAUGUGGGACUGGAUUUUGUCAGACAUUUUAAAAUGCCCCCUAAACAUCCAUUUGUACAGGCUGUUAGCUUUACUCUUAGAUUUCAUGACUUCUGGGUAAUCUUUUUAUCAUCCUUUUAUGUGAUGGGGCUUAUUUUAUUAAUUGUCUGGGAUCAUUUUCUUUUUCACCUUAAAUGAGACCCAAGCCUUUUACUUUAUGGGUCAAAUUUCCCAGUAAAUAAAGGUCCUAUGCAAGUAACAUAUCUGCUAAUGGACAUCUACAGAGGUGCUAGAACGUUUGUGAACCUCUUAAUGUUCUGAAAAUGUAUUUGAGGUGUAAAUCAUCGACACCAUUCAAUUCUAAUUUAACUAGGAUCGAUUUCAACUAGGUUCUCCCCAUUUUAUUAAAGGUCUGUUCUGCUCUAAAAAAUCGGACUGAGUCACAUAAAAAGCCAAUAAAAAGAUUACCCGGAAGUAAUGUGAUUAUUUAAUAUCUAGCAACUAUUUCUGUGUUUGUUAAAUUAGUAUCGAUUUACACACAGGUACAUUCAUUUUCAAUCAUUUUUCUGUUGAAAACAGUUGAAUUAGUUGAUGUGGGACUGGAUUUUGUCAUGGAGUAAGGUAUUCUUCAAGGAAUAUAGGGAGCUAUACCACCCAGCUCUAACAUGAAAACUGUACAUUUCUUCAACAUUUGUUGGCCUGGUGUGUCCUGCCUGCAUCUGUCCCCUAUACUCUUAGCAGUGUCAUGAGAAUGUAUAGUUCACUUGAGGCGUUCUCAGUUUAUACAUUUUCCAUCCACGGGGCGGGGCACGCUUAGAUGGGUCUUUGAGUAAUGGAAAAAUGGCAUCACAAAAAGAGGUCUAAUACAUGGGUGGAAUUUGCAGAUUGUGCAUUCAUAAUUAUUUCAGCAAAUUGAUGUUUGUAAUUAUUUGCAAAAUGGCGAUGGAGUGAAUAAAGAAUAACUCCCUCAGAUCUUGAAACGUUCUCAUUGCCAUUCAAGUGGGCACAGGUCGAGAGCCAGUCUUGAUUCCUAAUCUGAAUCUAGUCUUCACUAGCCAACUGACUAAAUGUACCCAUGAAAUACUUCAUGACACUGAGGUUGCUGAGCUGCAGUCAGUGCAAGGCAGAAAGCUAAUCUACUUCCCUCUCUCUGUUUGCUUGUAAACAAUACUCAGUUUAUAAUAGUCAUUCUUGGAAAGAGGCUUAACAGGGUCAACCCUCUCACCUUGUCUAUGACCUAGCCAUUAAAUCAUGCACGCACUGGUGAUGCCAUCCCCUUUCUACAUUCUCUUCCUGUCCGGUGCUCUCUGGUUGACCCCUCUCUCAUGUUGUACUGGCUGGCUUACGCAUCAUGUUACUCCUCCUACUAUAUGUACAUGUUCUCUCUCUCUCCGUGAGUCGUGCAGUGCCACCAGCUCUUCCAACAAACACUGUGUCUGACGCUGGAGGUAUUAGGCUAAAUGUAGUGAUUGGGCCAGCACUCAAGCAGACCUCCUCACACUCCUACUCUUAAUCCCCUGAUCCGCUGGGCUUGAAGCAACGGCCUCUGUUAGCCUGACUGUGUGUGUGUGUGUGUGUGUGUGUGUGUGUGUGUGUGUGUGUGUGGGAUGCAUCAGUGUGGUCAGCCUCUGACCAAACCCCCACUUUGAAGUGGGAUCGGAGCGCUGAAAAACACUGGCUGUGCUGGAUACCUUUUCUUACCUUUUGUAAGUAUUGAACAACCAUUGCAAUUGGUUCUGAAAUGAAGCAGAUUUCUCCAAGCUAGCAACUGUCGUGGCCCUCACUGUCUGCUUGUAUUUUCCGUGCCUCCUUGGAUGCAUGGUGCAUAGUCUAUCAAGUUCUCUUGACUUUAUAUCUCCACUUGGCCCUUGGUGAUCUUUUACCGUUUUAGUUGAGUUCAUUUUUGAGUUUGAGAAAUCCAGUGCUUAGCAAAAUCAGGUUUGCGAUGUAUUUCUGCAGCCAUCUGAAAGGCAGAAGCUGUUUAUAGCUUCCUCAAGACAAUCAUCAUCCUCCUCUGCCUAGUUUGAAUUCCAGAGCUUGUUUUCUCUGAACAUGUUCUCAUAUGUGACUUCAUGGUUUGUAAAAUCUAGCAGGUCAUGUCCUUGACUAAGCACUGAUUUCAAGAUCUAAGGAUGCCCAUUUUGCAGUUGCUUCCUCAGUGUUUGGUUGUUGUUAUUCCUAAGCAUGGUCAUACAGGUCCGAUAGCUAACUAGAGCUUUUGCAUUGUAGUCCGUGUCAUUCAGCUGUCAUUGUCUGUUUGUGUCAUUCAAGACAGCUUGAUGAUGUUGGAUUCUCCAUUAGUUCUGUUCAGCCAGGUUACUAGAACUAUGUCCACCAGCUGCUUUUUUUAACAACUUUAAACCUUCUACACGUGCCUAGUGUCGUCUGUGGUAUGAAUGCCACAUACUUUCCUAGACCUGUCUCUGACAAGUCUAUGGCAACCUGACAAGUUUUCUGUAUGGGCCGUAACUCAAGCGAUCAGCUGUCUGAAUAGUUCAUCAGCUGUCAAUGGCUUUUCUUACUAGAGCAGUUGGCAUUCAUGCUGCUUCUUAAACACUGUACUCUCUUUCUGUCGGCCCCCUAAUAUGAAAGUGCAAGGUGCACACACACACGCAACAGUAGAUGUGCGCUGGCUGCACGGAGGCAGAAAGAGGGAUUGAGUGGAGCUGCUGUUUGCAUGAAUGUACUCAGAGAAUGGUAGAGUAGUGCAAAGGCUGUUUGGGAUGAGGAAGUCAGCACACGAAUUUGAGCGAUUUGUUGUUGUUGAACUUGUGCCAUCUGAGCCGAUGGAUGUGUGCGUGCUAUGGAAAUGUUUUGAUUGGAUUGCCAAAAGCACAACAGCGGUAACGCAUACGAUGGAGUUCAACUGUGUUGUUGUGGAAGCAGUAAGGAUACAGCAGCAUUUAGGGAACUUGUGAAUGGUCAAUUUCACAACAGUCAACAAAUAUGUGUUGGCACUGAUCCUUUUAACAGUCAAAUUACCUCUCCUUCUCAGUGAAUUAUUUCUUAAUUUCUUUUAUUGCCACUAUAUUUUAAAGCAGAGAAAUGUAGUGUUCAACAGUAAAAUACGAAACAAUAUCUUACCUUUUGUGUCUAAUUUUUUGUUGUGCAUUGUGCCUCCAUGAGUUUUUGUUUGUUUGUUGAUACACUGUGUGUCGAUAUAGUGGCUUAAAUCCGAUCUUAUAUAUGAAGUUUUCUUCUGUAAAAUAUUGAACAGUGAAAUAUUGAAUAAGAUGUCAAUUCGAUCUGCUUCCACUGUUAUUAACUUUUAUUUAUUAUAUUAUAAUGAACUUAAAGCUUCUGCACAUCUAGGACACUGCCAUUAGCCAGUAAGAUUAAUAGUAGGAAGGGAACCUACAAUGAAACUAUUAAGAGAGUAUUUGUUUGUUUUCAUUUUUUGGUCAGGCCUGUGUUUGUUUUCAAAGCCAUUCUCUGAAGGAUCUUUCACUACUGUAAACACAGCAGUGUUGUUGGUGGUUGCCCCAGAUAGAAAUAAGCACUAAUCUUAUCUGAUGGCGGUGCACUGCCACUAGGAGAGAUGGCUGUGAUGUAAGGGUCAGAGCUUCUCAAAUCCUAUUUGCCUCCAGUGCGCAACACACACACACAUUUGAGCACACUGGAAAAUCUAGAAAGAUGACGGUGGUGAUUAGUGUUGUACAAGACACAGCAUUCCACCUGCCUGACAUUUUGGAAUAGACUGACGGCGUCUGUGAGACUGCUGGGGCUGGAGAAGGGCAUGGGGCAAGGGUCGACAGUGGUACAGUGGUAGAGAAGUCGUUUAGUAAUCAGAAGGUUGCUACUUCGAUUCCCUGUCGACGCGUCCUUGAGCAAGACACUGAACCUCUAAUUGCUCCUGAUGUGCAGUGUGCCAUCAGUGUAAAUGUAAAAUGUGUAUACAUUGUAAGUCGCACAUAUGUAAGUCGCUUUGGAUAAAAGCGUCUGCUAAAUGACUAAAUGUAAAUGUAAAUGUUUUCUGAGAAGGGUACUGGGAGUGUUGGGCAGGGGAGCUGGCACAGGGGAGAGAGUGAAAGUGAAGGGUAGAUAUUGUGAGGAAGUUAAGAGUCAUGUUAUUAAAGGAUUAACAGAACUGAGUGUAGGUAAACAAUCUGUUGUCUGCAGCAGAGGUAGGUGUUGCUGCAUAGUCAUAGGGGAAUGAUAAAAGUUGGCCAUGCUGGCUAUUGGCACAUGUGCCCUGUUUUGAUUUGAUUUAUGAUUCACAAGGUUUCGAUUCAAUCCAAUUUGGUUCAAUACUGAUUAGAUAUCGAUAGGAAUAGGAUAUGGAAUAUUAUUUCCAUAUUUGGAGAGAUAUUUAAAAUGCAAAACAGAUUUACAAUGUCACUGUAAACCCUGCGGACAGCACUAAAGAAAAAGACCAAAGGAUUGCCUUCGAUGUGAUAGUCAGACGGUGUUUAACCAUUGUUGAAAUGAACCUAGAGAGGUAGAAAAAAUGCAUGUUAGCCUUAAAGUUUGAUCCAUAAAUCGUCAUCGAGUCGGCAUUUAAAAAAAAACAAUUCAUUGAAAAAGCCAUAAUUUUGCAUACCCCUAUUCGUGGCUACCAUGGUAACAUAACUAAUCUAAGAUUGCAAAUGUCUUCAAUGAUGAUUUAUUUUAGGCCUUUUGACUCUGUGGAAAUGUGUGAGAGCCUAUGAUGUCUGCAUGGAACUUGUCUGUCUUUGUUUGUGUGUGCGUGCCCGUGUUGACGACUCUUACAAAGGAUUUAUUACAAAGAUUAUUCUUCAUAAAGCAUGUGGGCUCAGAGUUUUAGGUCCCGCUACAUAAGAACAAAUACCAGAGAUACUGUUUCUAACGCUUCCAAUUUCCAAACGGAUAGAGUGAAGGUUGUUGAAGGAUUUGACAUUGUCAGAGCAAGCUUAGUGCAGGUAGGUGAGGCCUAUAUUUAGCGAUUCUUAUUAGGAUAAGACUCAUGUCUGAGACAUGUUGUGGUUGCCUUGUUCCGCCCUGCUGGCGUGUGAGGCUAGUGUAAGCUGGAUGUCCUUCUGAAGUGUUUCCCACGCACAUAGUACAGUUUGUACUGUAAGGCAGUGGGACUGAUGGGGACACAAGCUGGGGUAGACCCGUGUGUGUGUGUGUGUGUGUGUGUGUGUGUGUGAAUGCAGAUGUUCCUGUGUGAAUGCAGAUGUUCCUGCCUGACCAAACCCUGAUGGGCCAAUGCUUCCCCACAUGAUUUGCUGCCUCUUGUUGAUAAAGUAGCUUAUAGUCCUUGAUAGCUUUCCACAUGUUUGAGUUGUUUGAGGGUUUUGUGACCAGUAUUUUUCGUGUAUCUGCCAUGGUAUGUAUUACCACGUAUCACCACGUAUCAAGUUUUACUUGAAAACUAUACUUGGACCUUGACCUGGAGUUUUGUUUGCCAUAGAUGUUACUCAUAACCUCUUGUCAGAUAAUUGUGAAGGGCCCAUGAUGGAAGGCUGUUUGUGUGAAUGACGUUACAUGUGGACCGGACUGGGACUGGUUCUUGACAGUCACAGUUAUGGUAAACUAAUCAGUUACAGUAAUCUCAGAUUGUUUUCAUACUGAAAGCCAGUAUGUUGCCAUGGAGCAUUUCAAAUUUAGGGAAAUUCCAUUUUUUGAUAACUUUGAAGUGGCAUUUGUGUGCGGGAGCCACAUGAAAAUAUGAGGCCUCAAAGGAGGUUAACAUAUUUCAUUUACAGUAACUCUCUGUACAGUACACCAAGUGCUUUUUUGGUCCAUAUACACCUAUUGAUGGUUUUGCCCUUGUAUAAUUUGUUAAGUAUUAGUGAAGCAUUUGUGAUUUUAUCUAGCAGCUCAUCUCAGACCUGCAAGAUGAAGCUUUACUUGACUGGUCAAGCACGGUCUGGUUUCUGUUGAAAAAUAUCUGUUCAAAUCUUUGUGUCUCUUUCUUUUCAUUACCAUAUAACAAAAUAUCAAAUGUGCUGAAUUGCAAGACAUUUAGUGUGUGUGUGUGUGUGUGUGUGUGUGUGUGUGUGUACACAUGUGUAUAGUGACAUCCGGUUCUCCUAAUGCAGGGCACAUUAACAUGUGUGCCUGUUUCCUGCUCAGCGCUCUUGGCAGGGUUCUGUCUAGCAGCAUUAGGGAUGACUCACUCCUUGCAGAACACUUGGCACAGGAACAUUUGAACAUUUGUCUUACUGUCAAACACAUCCUCUGUCUUUCAUGUGGCUGUUCACUCGGUGUCUCGAGUGCUUCCUGUGGACUGCCACAAGCUCACUUUUUUGCUUAUUUCUAAGCAUAAGUUGUAAUUGGUAGAACCGCUUUUAUGCCACUGUAUGUUCGACGUCAUCAACAACUCACUGAUCAAGAGAAAAUAGACAUUUAAAACAUUUAAGACGAGGUUAUUCAUGACAUGGCUGGAACAGCAUUGCCUGGACUAACAUAUAAUCGUUUCUUGCAAUAAAUUAGCAUUUAUGAUCACCCAAUCUGAAUUUGAUGGUAAUUAAGCAUCCAUGCACAUUGUGUUUAGUUGAGCGAGCAGUGUUUUGUAUUGUAUACAUUGUAUAAAUAUAUUGAGAUUCGAUCCACCAUUGAUGUUGAUCAUGGCAUGCACAAUGUCUGUAGCCUGCCUGCAUCAUGUAGCCCGGCCAGGGGAAGGCCAGUGAUAGUCAUGCCGAUCAACCGAGUCAUAACAACACCAACAAAAGUAUUACUCAUUGGUUGUUCAGUUGGUUGUACUUGAUCAAACUACCAUUGCACAUUUUUAUUAGGCCAAAUAUUAAGCAGAUACCUGAUUUCACCAGCUCCAACGAUUCUCAAUUCUUUAUUAUGUGUUACGGUUAUCUGCACUGAACUUCUCUUACCAGACUCUGCUAACCCCUUUUUUUACCUUGACACUGCCUCAGGCACCGGUUAGUUCUGCUUGACCCAAGAGUAAACGGCAGGCCAAAAGCCCCUGGUUCUGCUUGGCCCAAGGGUAAACGGCAGGCCAAAAGCCCCUGGUUCUGCUUGGCCCAAGGGUAAACGGCAGGCCAAAAGCCCCUGGCCGUAAGCCCAGAGAAGACAUGAUGAAGCCCCAGAAGUGACAAUGGAGACGUAACUAGCCUUGGCACUAUGCUAGUGCUAUGCACUAUGCUAUCGGCUCAUAAAAAAAGCUGUAGAACUCUCUGGGGACCAGGCUGUGGGUUGGUCUCGUCAAACGGGACCCUCCCAUCAGAUGGAUCCCUCUUCCACUCGCGCGGAGCGUCUCCCACACCUCCACAGCAGUCGCAGUCCGCUUCACCCUUCUCCGCUAGCUCACUCACUAACUCCUCCAAGUCCUCUUCAAACCCCAAAAACUCAUUCACUCUGACUGUUCCAGUUGAAAGUAAAGCUCUCCUCCGUGAUGACUAUAUGUUCACAAAUGCUCUGUUUGUUAGCUAGCUAGCUCUGAUACUGUUAAAUGAUUCAACUGUUGAAUGACUUAAUUUGUAAAUUUAAACCAUUCAUGAUCUGUUGAGAAUAUCAUGUCGACAUGGUAACAGCACAGUAUGGCUGUUUUAAUUGGCUUAAUGUUAGCGCUCCAAUGGUUCUGCUCUUUGGGGCGCACAUACUCGCCCUUGGCAUUCUAGAAUAUUCUGGGUCGAUAUAUGCGCCUCUGACAGUAAACGGGUUCAAAAAAAAAAAUGAAGUGACUGUGCACCCACAUAUUUUGGGUGAAUAAAGCCAGCAGAGAUCCUGGUCAAAUGAGUCAGCAGUUGAGGGGUUGGACUGUGCUGAGGCAGUGAUCCACAUGGCUGAGAACGCCUCUGACACAUUAAUGCAGGCAGGGCGGUCAGUAUGGGAAAUGGCCCCCGUCCUCACGUGUGACUGUGUGUUCGGAUAGGCUGUCUAGCUUGUAGCUCUCAGUACUGUUGCUGUGGGUUUUGUUUAAAUAGAUUUGACUUAUGUAAGUUGAGACUGAUAAUAUGGCCGUGUGUGUGUGUGUGUGUGUGUGUGUGUGUGUGUGUGUGUGUGUGUGUGUGUGUGUGUGAGGGAGUGUGUGUGAGAUCAAGAGCUCAUAAUAGCAGCUCCUGGAGUGGGGGGGUGUGUGUGAGGCAUCCAGCCAGCCGGUGACCUGCCUCCAGUGUGUGUGUGUGUACAGGAGCCUGUCUCUCACCUCUGUUUGGACUCUGAUAAACCUUGCUGCACAGAAGCAAACUAUUGUUCCAUGAGCGCAUUCAUGUGUGGUUGUUUCAGCAGUGUGACACGAGAGAGAGAGUGGGGGUUUGGUAACGGAUGACCCAAUGGCUGUGAUUUGGCCGUUUGGCCACAGCUCGCUCUGCUACCAAAAGUUUCCAAGCAGAGUUCUCAGCAGUAAGCGUUGCCAAGGGUCACUCUGCAGCCAAGUUGAAUCAGGCAAUUUGCAUGUUCAAAGUACAUUCACAUGUCUUUACGUUUCAUGGGAAUUUGUACAUGCCUUGUAUGCCUACUCAUUUGCUUCCUUUCCUCACUCGAAAACAGUCAAAUGUAACGUUAAAAGAACAGUCAAAGGUAACGUUAAAAGAACAGUCAAAGGUAACGUUAAAAGAACAGUCAAAGGUAACGUUAAAAGAACAGUCAAAGGUAUCGUUAAAAGAACAGUUAAAUGUAACGUUAAAAGAACAGUCAAAGGUAACGUUGAAAGAACAGUCAAAGAUAACGUUAAAAGAACAGUGAAAUGUAACGUUAAAAGCUAUGUGCUAUGCGUUACUAGCGGUGAAGAGUCGUUGGGGUUGUUCCAAGAUAUCCACACUUAUGGAAUGCCUCUUGUCCAAUCAGGAAUCAAUACAUUGUUCAACUUGAUCUUCUUCUGUUGUAUUGAUUGUUUUGAUGAUCUCUGUGAGAUGGUGGGCAAUCAUUCAGAGACCAAUGUGAGUCCAAAUUGUGUUCUAUAUAAUGUACUAGUCAUAACAAUCAGAUCCAGUUUUUAGAGCAUUCAAAACUUGUAAAUAAGUUGCAAGUAGGAAAAAAAAACUGGGCUUAAGUUUAAGUGGGCUGGGCUUGCCAUUAAGGCAGAUCUGUUGAUGUUACACUUUGCAUUCUCAAGGUAUAAAUCAGAUCCAUUUUUGGAAUUGUCUUGCCACUACCGUCUAGGUACAUCAGUGGCCGAGCCCUGGCUGUGUUCUGCUCAAAGUUACCAGAGGGGUCUUUACUGUACAACCACGAUUGUGCUGACCACCUAGUCCGUUAUCAGUCAUUGAUCCUGGGCAGAAUUUCGGGCCAACCCUGACAAAUGAACUCUAUUUUGAAAGGACAAGUGAACACUCCGCUCUAUUAGCCAGGCCCUAAGCAGCCAGUGCUCCCUAGUGACGUUGGGGGGGGGGCCUGUAAGAAGAGCAGGUCAUUGAUCAGAGACCACGCCGCUAGAACACCAGUUGAAAGCCUAUAAAGGUGGAUAAAUGGCAUACCAUUUAGCUGAACUAGCAUGAAUCUGCGUCGAAGAGGCUACGUGGCAUUCCCACACAUGGAAGUUUGUAAUUGGCUAGCCUACACACCCAGUACUUAGUAAUAAAUGAUGGAAUUCCUAGAUUUUUUUUGACUGGUUCCAGGUUGAUAUUGUUUUAUCUGCAAUAGGAAUACAGUAGGUGUAGGGGCCGUUAAGACCUAAACUGAUGUGUGGUGAGCGACACUGGAGCGCCGAGACCUUUAUCUCAAGAUGAUCUUUAGCUCCAGGAGCAGAAGUAGAGAAGUUAACAGGAAAACCGUGAGAACAUGGCUGCUGCCUGCAGGGGGCGCCACAAUCCGUUCACCCGGUUGGAAACUCAUGAGCAUCACCACCAGUGUCUGCUGCACUAGGAGCUUAGAGUGGCUGAUAUCUGUGCCAUCUCCACAUCCAUUUCUUUCUUUGCCUUCUCCUUGUCCAGUGUGACUAUUUUACACACAUCUUCAUUUGGUUGGUUUGUUGGGUGAUCACCAUGUUAACACAAUAAAUAUGAAUUAAAAAAAUCCUGAAGAUAAAUAUUAAAUAGAAAAAAGCGCAUCUGGCAGAAAUUGUGGAUCUGUAUCUUAAGUCCUGCUACGUAUGGCAAAUGAUAUGUUGUGUUGGUGACACAAGCCUUGUGCAGUGGGAGACCGGGAGCAGGGUUGGUGUGCUGUGCUGUCCUGUCAGAUGAGUGUUUCUGCCUUAAAGUAGCAUUAAGGAUUUGUUUUGCUCUAAAUCUAGCAAGUUAACUAGGUAACAACCAAGACAAUUGGUUUGGAGUGACCAAAAACAGCACAUUCAAUUUCAAAAAGCUUUUAUAUGUUUUUAAAAUAUAUUUAACAAAGGCUU